ACCAUCCUUUUCUUGGGGUUGCGCUACUGUUCAAUGAACGUUUAGUGAGAACAGUACUGCUAACGCCAUAACAACACACUCGCACCAACUAAAGCUUAGCUUUACUUUGGUGCAAUUUUUGGAAAA
Molecule: small nuclear RNA, 126 nt
Organism: Phyllostomus discolor (pale spear-nosed bat)
Lineage: Eukaryota; Metazoa; Chordata; Mammalia; Chiroptera; Phyllostomidae
Product: U4atac minor spliceosomal RNA
Exons: 1
Source: RefSeq, a predicted model, not a curated record